CCACGACGGCUGGUCCCGCCUCUGUCCAGACCUGAACUGCCUGGUGAGAGGGGCUCAGACACGGAGCAGCACGAACACGGUGCGUCUGGGCACAGGGACGGCACGCCCACCUUUCGGUCCCGGUGCGGUGCGUGUGCAGCCAACUCCGUGCACCCUCUUCAGGAAGAGCAACCAGAGGAGAAGAAAAUAAAAGUGCGUCCUGCCAAUCAACACAGCACUUCAGAGGACUAGACCACAUCGUUCUGAAGCCACCAGCAUGGAGCAGGUCCAGAGCCAGCCGCCCCCUCACUGAUGACAACCAAGAGCUCAGGACAGAACAGAGAAGCCGGUGUCCAUGGAUUCUAGAGCGAGCAGCAGCGCACAGACUGGGGAUGGAAGUCAGGACUGGACGAGUGACCAGCAUGGCAGUGACCUGGUGGGUCCCCGCCUGCAUCUAAGCUCUGUCCUAAAGGUGUUAGCCCUGAAAACCACCCAGUUCUGUGAAGGGUCCACGCAGUGCAUGAAGAGCUUCUGAGAGAAACCAGAGCUUCCCACUAAAGGACAGGGAAGGUGGCAGAAUCCAGCACAAGAUGUGCUGAUGGUGAGCUGGGGCUAUGAGAGCGCACCCUGGAGGCCACCUCGGGCUCUGCGCCACGCUGGUGCUGAGGUCAGCCCUGCAGACACUGAGACAGGACUCACAGACUUAAUAGGUGGUGUCACCCUCUGCUGUGUAGUGGUGGGGAGACAGACUACACAACCCCGUUUGGAAAGGAGAAAGGGCAGCACAUCCAUAGGCAGCUUCAUCCGAAGUUCGGAGGGAGAAUCUGAUUGAAUGUGAACAGGCACAGAGGUCAAGCAGAAGAAGGCCAGAGUCCUGGAGCCUGGCCUGCAGCCCUGCCCCGCCCCGCCCUGGAUUUUAGAUUGGAGAACAAGCUCAUUUUGGCAAAUAAAUGGAUUUUUCUU
Molecule: long non-coding RNA, 942 nt
Organism: Artibeus jamaicensis (Jamaican fruit-eating bat)
Lineage: Eukaryota; Metazoa; Chordata; Mammalia; Chiroptera; Phyllostomidae
Exons: 3
Source: RefSeq, a predicted model, not a curated record